ACCCUAUGAUUGGGUUUUUACAGAUGUUUUCGAAAGAUAAAAUAAAUUACAUCAUUCAGAAAUAACAAAAGUAAAUCACAUUAUUCUGAUGGGAUGUUUAUUCCUCACUUUUACUUUCUCUUUGGCUGAUGCUUUUCUUGAUCUCCCCGCUCCUUGCUUUUGCUUUCUGCAUUUCUGCUUUAUUUCCCACUGCGUCUCUGCUUUUCAAACUGCAGGGGUUGGAUUCUUUCUGCUUGCUGGGAUGAAAAAGUAGGGAAGCAUGAUAGGAAAGCAACAAAGUUGCACUACUGUCGCCAGCCAAUUGCCUUUUACUUUUCUUUUUCUCUUUUCCUAUUUCUGAAAUAUUCUUUCAACUAAUACAGCCCACUCAUCCCUCGGUAGAGAUCUGAAGC
RNAcentral lists this long non-coding RNA (392 nucleotides) under Malus domestica (apple). RNAcentral's name for it is "long non-coding RNA (MDOM_LNC017035)". Lineage: Eukaryota; Viridiplantae; Streptophyta; Magnoliopsida; Rosales; Rosaceae. The record is from RNAcentral.